This 1062-nucleotide long non-coding RNA is filed under the name Ficedula albicollis (Collared flycatcher). RNAcentral's name for it is "lncRNA (ENSFALG00000026164.1)". The record is from RNAcentral. Lineage: Eukaryota; Metazoa; Chordata; Aves; Passeriformes; Muscicapidae.
CAGAGCCCCCCACUCCUCCCUGGAAUCCAGCAGGGCUGCCCAAGGCCCUUGGCACAGGUUGGGAAGUGGGAAUGGUCCCCUGGGCCCUGCACACUCCGUUCUUCAUGGUGGGUCCUGCAUCCGUGGGAGGUUUCUGGGCUGCUGCUCUGAGGAGGGAUUUGAGGUCAGGCUGACUUUGGUGCUUCCCAAAAGGCACUGACUCUCUCUGUUUCAGUUCAGGUCCAGGGCAGCCACCCAGCAUUGCUCCAAAUCCACGAGAAGUGAAGCAAACCCAGGAAUUCACCCAGCCCUUCCCAUCAGUGGGCAGGUGGCAGCCCCAGUGCCAGGGAGAGGCAGGUGCUUUCUGCACACCCAGAACCGGACCAGACCCGCUGCCCAAAAUCCCAGCACAAACCACGGCUGCCCACAACCUUCUCCAGGGGGAGUGGUAAGUGCUGGGAACCCAGGGGACGUUCCCAGGACCUGAGCAACCAAAAACCUCCCUUUUCUCCCAGCCACAAGCAGUAACCCUGAGGUGACGGGCAGAAAGGGCCACUCCAUCACAAUGCCCGCUCCCCAGGGAUCCUUGGUACAUCGCUGCUUCCUUCCCAGCCCAUCCCAAAGAGCCAUCUCCACAUGGGACACUACCAAAACAUUUAUUAGAAGAGUGCAGGGUGGCCAGGCUCCACAGGACCUGCCCUGCAGCUGCCCACAGAGCUGGGGAGGGCAGCAGGAAUGUUCACCCUGGGCAUCUCGUGUGUCCCAGCAUCAACCGGGAGAUGCAGGCGCUUGUUUCCCCGAGGGAAAUGUGUCCCUGCUGGGGCGUGGGCAGUGGGGACAGGCUGGCUGUGCCAUUCCUGCAGGCAGGAGGCAGCACUCGGGCACUGCAGAACUCCCAGCAGGGAGAUCCAGGGCUGCUCACACUGGGCACUGCAGAGCUCCCAGCAGGCAGGCAGGCAGAUCCAGGGCUGCUCACACUGGGCACUGCAGAGCUCCCAGCAGAUCCAGGGCUGCUCACACUGGGCACUGCAGAGCUCCCAGCAGAUCCAGGGCUGCUCACACUGGGCACUGCAGAGCUCCCAG